GAAAAUAUACUCUCAAGACUCAAGAGGAACACCAAGCCUUCCUAAGGCUAAAAGAUGGCCUAUUUUGAAUUUUGAGAUGCAGGUGUUAAUUGCAACUACUUAUGUGAUGUAUCGCGUUGGCGGCGUUGCCCUAGAAUAUUACAAGCUAACUUGGCUUGUACGUAUACGUAUCAAUGAAUAUGUUGCACUACACUCACUCUUCAUUGUACGAUUCAUCCAAUUGGGAUUUGCUAAAAGGAGCUCAAGCUACUACAAAUAUAAAUCAUAUGCAAUGGAGGCAAUCAAAAUCUAUCAAGCCAUUAUUAGGGGAAUGUUGUCAAUUUAACGAUGAUCUAGAUAAUUCAUAAUGCAAAUUGGAAGGAUUCAAACGAGUGCGUCUAUAGGAGAAAGAUCAAUAAGCAAUCUUAAGAUAAAUGUGUCUUUUGGUACGAAAACAAGAUCUAAAAGGUGAAUACCAAAGAUUAUUUGCUUGGGAUAUAUUAAAUGAUUUAGCAUGAGUCGUGUUAAGUAUUUUCACUCGAGGUUUGAACAUUUAACGUAUAAAGUUUAAACUCUAAUGACUCGAGUUGAAUAUUUAAGCUAU
Non-coding RNA from Solanum lycopersicum (tomato), 583 nucleotides. Lineage: Eukaryota; Viridiplantae; Streptophyta; Magnoliopsida; Solanales; Solanaceae. The record is from RefSeq and is a predicted model, not a curated record.